UAGAUCAUCAUAUGAUACUGAACUAGCUUCCCUUAUUGUGAUUUGUCCAUAUGUAGUUGGACUCUUAUUGGUAAAUUCUGCGCUCAGACCUUUCCUCAUUUUGCAUUUUUACAGUGAAACAACAAAGAAGGUUUUGAUUGCAUCCACCCACCCGAAUUUGAGGUGUAGCAAUUUUGGAAAAUAUUUUUCAUCACUACCUACCGGGAGCCCGCGCAUAUUAUUAUCUGGUCCAGCAGGUACUUCUGCCAUUUUAAUUUUGUGGUUUAUGAUGCUUGUAAUUCUGUGGUUGAUGAUGCUUGUAAAUUCUGAAAUUCUGAAAUUCUGAAAUUUUAUAUUUUCUUUUUCUUUCCUUGUUAAUUCAUUAAGUUUUUAUUUUAAUAAUUCUUUUGUAGGUUCUGAGAUAUAUCAGGAAACCUUGGCAAAGGCACUCGCGAAACAUUUUGGUGCUAGAUUACUAAUUGUAGAUUCUCUUCUCCUGCCUGGUGUAUGUUCUUUCAUGUCCCUUUUUUAACUGGAAUCUUCUUUGCUUACAAGCAUAUCUUCUCCUUCUGUUCUUGUUGAUCUACUUUUUUCUAGCAGUUUUCUUCGUCAUUUCAGGAAUUCAAGUUUAGAAUUGUGGAUUUUUCUUUUAAAUAUUUCUUGAAAUAUACUUCUUAAUAGGUUGAGGCACCACCGCCCAAGGAUUCUGAUUCUGUUAAAGAAGUACCAAGGCUUGAAAGAGUUUCCACAUUUACGAAACGAGCAGCUCAUGCUGCUGGAUUCAAGCACAAGAAACCGACCUCUAGUGUUGAGGCUGAAAUUACUGGCGGAUCCACUGUGAGUUCUCAGGCACUGCCAAAGCAGGAGACUUCUACUGCAUCAUCCAGAGUCAAUACUUUUAAACAAGGCAUGAUAUUGUUUCUUAGAAUGUCGAACAUACAGUGGAUUUCUUAUUGGUUUAUUGAUCUAGAAUUGUAACUUAACACUAUCUGUCUUUGAGGUGCUAACCCUUAUCCAUCUAUGCAGGUGACAGGGUCAAAUUUGUGGGUGCCAUAUCUUCUGGUACUCAACCGCUGCAGAGUUGUCCUCUUCUAAGGUAUUCGAUUUGUAUGAUGGUAUAAAAUGUACAUUUCUGAGUAAAUUUGAUAUUCAUAAGUGGCAUUUGUAUAUGCCAGAAUCUGAAUUAAGCAGACGGUUUGGUGCCUCAAUGUUUGACAUGGCAUCUUAAGUUGAUAGAAAUGAUGCUGGUGGACCAAACAGUUAAAAAUAUUCUUCCUUGGCAAGUAAUUACGAGCUGCCAAAGGCACUGGAUGUGUGAUAAGUUGGUACAUAUGAAAUUGAGUCAGCUCCCAUGCCAGUUUGUGGCAAGUUUUUGUAGCAGUCCUUGUUCUAAUAGUCCUUUAACAGUUGGUUUACUUGUAUUUAUAAAAGUGUGUCUUCCACAAAACUCCUUGCACUUCAGAAUUUAAAUUUGUUGGAUGAACGGUUUCUUUCUUUUAUUUGGAAAUUUUUACAAAUUCCUUUAAUAUGAUUGCCACUAUAUAAACUUUUUAUGUGAGUUUGAAAAGGAAGAGGAAAAAAUUGUGCAUGGGAAAACAACAGUUACCAUAAUCAUGCUAUAUGAAUCUCAUGGACCAUUGAUCGAAAGUGAUUUUGGUUCUAAAUUUUGCAGGGGACCAUCAUAUGGUUGUCGAGGCAAAGUAGUUCUUGCUUUUGAAGAAAAUGGGGCCUCAAAAAUUGGUGUUAGAUUUGAUAAAUCAAUACCAGAUGGCAAUGAUCUUGGUGGUCUUUGUGAAGAAGAUCAUGGCUUCUUUUGUUCUGGUAAUUUCUGAUAUCAUGUUUUCUUCCCCAUUAGUGCAUGAUUUUGCUCUAUUUUACUUUUUGUAUUCCUGUUAAUAAUUAAUUUUUACUAUGCAGCUAGUCAUUUACUUCCCUUGGAUGUUUCUGGAGGUGAUGAUAUUGACAAGCUUGCAAUCGGUGAACUUCUUGAGGUACUCAUCUCCUUUACACUAACAAGAGCUCCCUUUACUGUACCAAUAUAGUUGCGAUAAAUUUGGUAUUAAUAUCUGCACCAAUGUUGUGCAGGUGGCAACCAAUGAGAGUAAAAGUCUUCCUUUGAUAGUGUUUUUGAAAGAUAUAGAAAAGGUUAUGGCGGGUAACCCAGAUGCAUAUAGUGUCUUGAAGAGUAAGCUUUCAAACUUGCCAGAGAAUGUUGUUGUGAUUGGCUCUCAUACCCAGUUGGACAAUCGCAAGGAGAAGGUAAGAGGCUGAGGAUUUUCAUUUGGCUGAUUUUGAACUCACUGUUGUAGUUUGACACUAACACACUAUUUUUAUGUUUUGCAGUCCCAUCCUGGUAGCCUUUUGUUAACAAAGUUCGGCUUAAACCAAACAGCUUUGCUUGAUCUUGCUUUUCCGGUAUGUGAAUUUCCAUUAUCUUUUCCAUUUUAUUUUUCUUGGUGGCAUGUAAUGCUAAUACAACUUUUAACCCCUCAUAUCAGCAUCAGUAAUCAUGCUUAUUCUGAUUUAGAUUUGUAGACCUUGACAACUGUGCAAAGUGCUUUACUUUCUUUGCCAUAGAUGAGUGAGAGCAUGUCUUGAGUUUUUUCUCUCAAACUAAAUUCUUAUCUGAUUAAUUUAAUUUUUAAUUCACUUUCUGUUUGAUUUACAUUCAACUCUCUCUCUUUCUCUUGCAAAUGUACACAAAUUCCUCAAGGUCAAUUGAAACAGUCUGAUGAGGGGGUCUUUGUUCACAUUGAAAUAUAAAAUUCAACAAUACUUUACCCUCUUUUUCGUAGACGAUGAUACUUUUCUUCUGAAAAACCAAGAUGACACAUUUAUUAUUGGUAUUCAGGAUAACCUUGGUGGUAGACUGCAUGAGAGGAGCAAAGAAACUCCUAAAACUAUGAAGCAAGUUCAACUCUCUCGGAUUUUCCCCAACAAAGUGACCAUACAGCUGCCCCAGGUAGUGAGCCUUUUUUCUUACAUGGUCAUUGUGCUACUUGUUAUUGCUUGCAUGAGGUAAUAUUUGUUGGCUAUCCUGGCAGGAUGAGGCUUUACUUUCGGACUGGAAGCAGCAGUUGGAAUGUGAUGUUGAAACUUUGAAAUCGCAGUCUAAUAUUGUUACCAUUCGCUCAGUAAGUACAUGUGAUCACAUCUUCUUUUUGUUCCUAUUGUUCUUUCCCUUAAAUACGUCUCUCAUGUAUACUGUUCUUACACCUUCUUGCGCACUUAUUGAAACACAAGGAUGUGAAGAUUGUGCACAUGUGCUUGCUAAUGCUAACCGGGAUUCAUGUCUCUGUUGACAUAUUUUAGUUAGCAGUUUAGUGGCUAAUGUAGUGUGUUUAGUGCUUUCGAUGCUAUUCCUGUAUAUUUUCAUAAGGCUGAUGCUUUCAGGUUCUUAACCGAGUUUCUGUGGAUUGCCCUGACCUUGAAAGUCUUUGCAUUAAAGAUAUAGCGCUUACAACUGAAAGUGCGUUUUCUUGAACUCAAAUUUUGUAGUGCAGAACAUUUUGCAGGGAAUAUUGACUUUAAUAUUCACUUACGCGAUUCAUUGUAUAAUCUUUUCUUCAACAGGUGUUGACAAAGUAGUAGGCUGGGCUGUUAGUCACCAUCUUAUGCAUUGUUCAGACGCUUUAGUUAAAGAUGACAAACUUGUUAUUUCUACUGAAAGGUUGUACAAUUUCUUAGGACAGUGUAGUUUAAAUAUACCGUCUAUUCUGUUUUCUUAUCAUAGUUUAUGGUUCUAUGCUACAGUCUUAAGGAUGGACUAAACAUUCUACAAGGCAUUCAAAACGAAAACAAGAGCAUAAAGAAAUCACUUAAGGUAAGUUGAUAUUGUGGGGAAGUACCACAAAUGCCUUGCUUCCGGCUCUCUGAAGAUGAAAUGUAAAUUAGAUUUUCCAUAAUCAGGAAAGUAAGUGCAUAUUGUAUUGGAUUUAACUCCAUGAUAUUUCAGGAUGUGGUUACUGGAAAUGAAUUUGAGAAAAAACUUCUUGCUGAUGUUAUUCCACCGAGCGAUAUUGGGGUUACUUUUGAUGACAUCGGGGCCUUGGAAAAUGUGAAGGACACCCUAAAGGAGUUGGUGAUGCUUCCUCUUCAGAGGCCUGAAUUAUUUAGCAAGGGACAGUUGACUAAGGUAGAAACAUGGCACUCUUUUCAUUUGUCCCCUUUGGAAUUCUUAUCUGAUUAUCGUCACUUAUUCUACAGCCUUGUAAAGGAAUCUUGCUCUUUGGUCCUCCGGGCACUGGAAAGACCAUGCUUGCGAAGGCUGUUGCAACGGAAGCUGGUGCAAACUUUAUUAACAUAUCAAUGUCAAGUAUUACUUCAAAGGUAUUUUUGCAUUUUAUCGUGGUUGUUGGAACUUGGAUAAACAUUUUGUGACAACUAUUGAAUCCAUAUGACCCCUUUAACUUUUGUUGCAGUGGUUUGGGGAAGGAGAGAAGUACGUUAAAGCGGUGUUCUCCUUAGCUAGUAAAAUUGCCCCUAGUGUUGUUUUUGUUGAUGAGGUUGGUUCAUUACAUACUAUAUAUUUGCGCUGUCCAGGGAACCUUUUUCUUUAGUUUUCUCGUUUGGAAAAUGUGAGUUAUACAAAGAGUUUUCUGGAACUGCUUUAUAAGCUGACAUGGUGGGCUAGUUUGCCUCGGUUAUUAAACUACAGCAGUGUAGGCCACUAGUGGAUGGCACGGCCAUGCAAGAUACAAUGUCAGUUUAUGAGUGUUUAUAGAAUCCUUUUGUUCGUCUUGUUUCACUCAAUUUUAUUCCCGUCCAAUUUGAUUUUUUUUUUUGGCUACCAUCAUAGGUUGACAGCAUGUUAGGCAGACGUGAAAAUCCUGGGGAACAUGAGGCUAUGCGUAAAAUGAAAAAUGAGUUCAUGGUUAACUGGGAUGGUCUGCGUACAAAGGAUAAAGAACGUGUAUUGGUACUUGCUGCUACUAAUAGGCCUUUUGACCUUGAUGAGGCUGUUAUUAGGAGGCUUCCGAGGAGGUAAAAUUGCAUGUUUGCCUGUUGUGCUGCUACUGCAUCUGUUAUAUGUCAACGCAAGUAUAUUGACUUCCUGCGUACAAAAUUGAUUCCAUGUGCAGAUUGAUGGUGAACUUGCCAGAUGGCCAGAACAGAGAAAAAAUACUGAGAGUUGUAUUGGCCAAAGAAGAUUUGGAAACUGACGUUGAUUUGGAGGCAGUUGCAAAUAUGACAGAUGGGUAUUCCGGAAGUGACUUAAAGGUUGCCUACUAAUUUUUACGAAACCCAUCUAAGCUUUUUACAUACGUAGUUUUAUUUUUGUCGGUUAUAUUCUAUGUAGUUCUAUUUUCUCUUAUGUAAUGGAUUGUCCCAAUUUUUGUUGUGGUUGCAGAAUCUGUGUGUUGCUGCAGCUCACCUCCCCAUUAGGGAAAUUUUGGAGAAGGAGAAAAAGGUUGGUUUUCUGUACAGUGUAACAAAAAUACAAAGCCCUUGUUGAUUUUUUAACUUGAAGUGGUGUGGUUGGUUACUGCAACUAAGUAGUUCUUUCUUCACGUAUCGCAGGAGAGAAGUUUAGCUUUGGCGGAGAACAGACCUGUACCGGAGUUGUACUGCAGCACCGACAUUCGUCCUUUGAAGAUGGAGGACUUCAAACAUGCGCAUGAGCAGGUACGUUGUGACCUAAUAAUACAAUACGGGGUUUUGGCUUCUUGUAGUAUUCUACCGUGGUCGGAAGUGUUCAGUUGUGUUCCGGAUCAUUGGCUGUCUAAGAUUGAAUUCACUGCAGGUGUGUGCAAGUGUGUCAUCGGAGUCGACAAAUAUGAGUGAGCUUCUCCAAUGGAAUGACCUAUACGGCGAAGGCGGAUCAAGAAAGAAGACCUCUCUCAGCUAUUUUAUGUAGAAUAGGUAUUUUUUUCGGUGUAUAGAAGUUGGUUUUGUUUAUUCUUCUUCAUCGAGCUUAUAAGGCGUGGGAAGAUAUCCAUGGAAAUCCCGUCCAAGUUCACGCCCCCAUUUGUACGAUAUAUAUAGGGUAUUUUUUUUCUCCUUUUUCGCAUUUAUUCGAUUUAUAUUUAACACCUCUGUUAGCAAUGUCGUUCCCAGUUCAUAUGCAGUUAUCUAACUUAGCCUUUUCUCUUUGUUAUGGGUCCUUUUUAGCCUGUAAAUGCUAAUCGAUAAAUGAAAGACGUUUUACAAUUUUCUAAUGUUUGCUUAUUUGAGUCGAUCGGUGUAUGAAAGUGUGAUAUUUUGGAGUGUUUGUAAAGGUAUGAUAGAAAGGAUGCAAAGUCGUGUUACAUUAGAAGUAUGCCUGACAAUUUCUAGACUUGUUAACCCGACACCAAACGACACAAUAAUAACAAGUUUAGAGUUGAUCUGUUAACAAGUCACAUUGUUGUGGAUCAUUCGUUAAGAACCCGAUAUCAUUUUUUAAAAUAAACUAAUGAAUUUAGAAAAUUUUCAACCAGUUUAUCAACCAUCUCAGCAAACAUCAUGACUAUAAGGCACAUUAGAUGAAUGAGUACAUUUUAAAGAUACAAGUAAAACAAUAGUAUGAAAAACUAUGAGGCAUGAUUUGCACCAAUUUACCAUUGAAGGCCAAUUUAUCGACAUGCUCUGAAAACGUUGUAGACUGAUGUAGAGCGUUGUGUCCAUAGUCUGUAGGUUAUCUAUAGAGUAGAAAUUCUUCUAUACAUAUUGGCAUGGGCAAAGUUACAUAGGAGCGAGGAGGGGCGGACACUCCUCCCCUCGUCGGAAAUCAAGGCUAGGAGCGAUGGUUCCGCCCCUCUGGUCCUGUUGGAAAUAAUGGAGUCCCGGCUGCUUCUCUGGAUUCUUUGCUGCUGCACGCAGCAGCAGCUUAGAGUUGUAAGUUUUUUUUUCUUCUGAAAAGUCUUAAGACGGAACGAUGCCGUUUCGGUCGAUUGAGUUAAAAAUAAAAAGAAAUGAUUGUAGUGGGGACCAGUAGUCCUCCCGUUUCCUCUUCACAAUCACACCCCGUCCUUUUUAAGAGAACAACAAAGUAUGCCCCAAAAAACUCACAAUUCACAAAUAUACCCUCUAGUUCUGACUUGUUAAAUUAUAUAUUGGCAAUGUAUUUAAUUUUGUAUAUAUGAAUAUAAAUUUUAGUCCACAAUCACCUAAUGUAGAUUAAUAGUUAGCACAUAAUUCAGUCUCUUACUUAUAUGUUAGCAUUAGAUAAUUGGUAGUGAUCAUUUUGAUCGUUUUUGAAGUAGUGUUCAUUUUGAUAUUUUCAAAUGAGUAAAAAAAUGAAGGACGUAUAGGUUUGGAGUUUACCUUAAAAAUAUAGGUCAACUAUAAUUUACACUCUUCACGUUUGAAAUGAUUUUUAAAAUGGACCACGAAGUUUUAAAAUUCUCAUAAUACAUCUGAUAAUACAUCAUAAGAUAUAUUAUAAGUGUAUUAAUUUUUAUCUUCGGCCUAAUUGUACUAUUUAUUAAAUUGAUGACAUUGUGAGCUUGAUACCCUUAUAUGAGCUCACUUGUAAACUAUAUUUGCACCAGAUUGACUAAAAAAAAAUUGAUUUUGACGAAGAUUUAACUGAAACCGAAGGAUGAUGGGCGUUGAAAAUGUGUUUUUUUGGACGACUAGUCAGAAGAAAAAACAAAGCAUUUCGAAUGGAAGAAUUUGCAAUGACCAAAGACAAACUUUUUUCCUCAAAAAGUUUUUCCGACGGCUUAAUACCUUUUCCUACAACAUUUUACCCUUGCUAAUAACAUUUCAUUAUGAAAUGAAUGAGCACAUUAUGGAAUGUUUUCAUGACACGAAACCUCGCUGGCAAUAAUUUUUACCCAUUCAAAUUUUGCCCCCCUUGUCAAUACUUCCUAGCUUCACCACUAUAUUGGUAUGGGUGGUUUGGGUCGGAUAAUCACAAAUUUAUUCAAUGUAACAAUCCCUAACGUCCCAAAUAGUUGAGUGAUAUCUCUUUAAAUAUUUGCCAUUGAUGGGGUGUUUUUGGAGAUUCCCUUCUAGGUCUGUUAAAUGAUAUACAUGUGAUCUUUUCUAGCUUCCAUGUCAUCGUAAUGAUGGGAGUUGAAGCUUUUUCAUCUGUCUUGAAUCUUCUAUCCGAUAGAUGAUCUUCAAAUUAAGAAUAAACUCAAAAAGAAGGAUAAUUAUUUUAACAAUAUUUGACCAAACUUAAAAAGAGAUGUGUUGGACUCUUCGAAAUAGACUUCUCCAAUCAGCUUGACGACAAAUUGAACCUUGUGAGAGUUGAUGAUCUUGAAAAGUGAGGUCAAAGUACAUAUCUUGUUCACUUUCUCUGGCUCAGCCUUGGUUUGAAUCAAGGUAUUAAAUAUCGAUGAUAUCGGAAAUAUCGGUAGUCCAAAAACACGGAAAUUUUGAUGGAAAUAUCGGAAUAUUAUCGAUAUUGAUAAAAAUUGAAUAAAAACCACGGAAAUUGUAAGAAAAACUUAGCAAUUUUUAUUGAAACUUUGCAGAAUGUUUAUUUAGUCAAUUAUCUAUUAGUUUAUCACAAAAAAUUGGAAGGAAAUGCAUUGCAUGAUGGAUUUAACUUAUUUAAGUUGAUUAUAUAGCGAGCUGGCAAACAUUGUGAGUGUAGAAAAUAUGUAGUAAUUAAUGAAAGAAGUUUAAACACACCAUAAUCAUUUAUAUAUAAUGAAUUAGUACAAUAUUUUACACUUUAUAAAUUGCAUGGUAAGAUACAUGAGUGACUUAGUAUCACAUAGAGUUCCUAUGAGGUUCAAAAUUUUGACUAUCUUCAUCAUCUCUAUGUGUAGAGUGUGUGUAUUGUGAAGAGUAGUCAUCAAAUGAUAAAUCCCCAAAAUAGUUUUGCAUGUAAUUGUUAACAUGCCACCCAUAUGGAUCCGAGAUUGGUUGACGUUGUCCAUAAGCAAAAUCAUUUGAAGAUUGAGUCUCAGAUUCUUUCCAUGAGUCGCUCGAUUCCAUCCUAACAGGAAUGAGAUAUGAAGGGUAGGGAAAUGGUUGGUUAUGAGUAUAACCAUAGUUACUACUUCCCACUCCAACAGAGUUCGAAGUUAUAGAUAACGAGUCAUCUUCUUGACUUGACAAAGUCCCCUUGCCUCUUUCUCUACGAGUAUAGUCCUUCCCUAUGGCACCAAUUUCUGGUCCUGCCCACCUACUGUCAUGGUCCUUAUCCUGUGUUGCAUGCGUGAAGUUUGCCUCACUAGUGAAUGGGCUAAUAAAUCCGGGAGGUGGUCCAACAUAGUUUCCAUAUCCACCACUACCUCCAGCUCCACUAUAUCCUUCAACAUUCCCACCUCCGGUGGUAGGUGAGUCUCCUGAUCUUGUACUAGAGCUAUCAUUAGUAUCAGCAGGAUCUUGUGGUUGUGUAGGAUUGGAAGAAGGUGGAAUUCCAGUGUUUCUUGGUCUUCGGCGCAAUAGUUCUUCCAAAGAGUCAGCGCUUGUAGAUCCCACCUCCUCCUCUAAUACUCUUUCUACAUUUAUCCCUUCAUUAUGUGCUUCUUCAACAACUCUUAGAGCUGGGUUGCCUUUAUCAUCAUCUAAAUGAAGAGGUCUAAUCCAUUGAUAAAGUUGGUUACCCUAUGCAUCAUCAUCUUCAGCAACAAUAUUAAACACAUCUAGUGGGUCACCACGGUCGACAUGAUCUAUUUCUGCUUCCUUAUCUCGAAUUUGAAGCUUCAUGUUGUAGUAGCAAUAAACUAUUUUUUCCAACCUACUAUGAGCUAACCUAUAUACCUUAAUUAGAAAUGGCCAAAAAAAAAAAAAAAAAUUAAAACAGGACCAAAAAAAAAAAAAAAAAAAAAAUCUAUUGGAAAAAGAUUUAAGAACAAAAACAUAAAUUAUAUACCUCACCUAGAAAGGGCUUGCAAACUGGAAAACAACCAAAACAAUCCAAAAUGCCUUUUGAGAUGAUUGAAUCGAAAUCGAAACGAACAGACAGACGAAGAGAUGGAGAGAGCAAUCAAAAGGAAAAGAGACGGAACAAAAUGGAAGACAUUUCCAGUAGCUUCAAAAAGCAGGGUGAAUAUAUUGAAGACCAAACCUCACGAUCACUUACACGUGGGUUGGAUAUUUUAAAAGCAGGUUUGGAUUUUUUUUUUCUUCGCUCGGAAAACACACACAUAUUGACACAUGGGCUGGAUAUUUUGAAAGCAGGUUCGGAUUUUUUUUUCUUCUCUUGGAUAACACACACACACACACGCACGCACACAUGCACAGACUACUUCCUUCUCCCUUAUUCCUCUCCUCAUUCAUCUCCGGUUCUCCCCCCAUCUCUUCUCUUCAAGUCUUAUUCCCAGAGCAGACAGACACACACACACCCUACUUUCCCGUGUUUCCCCCUUCCCUAAUCCCUCGAACCUUAUCCCUCAUUUAUGUCCUUGUUUCUUCUCCCCCGGAGCAUAGACCACCACACCCACACCCGCCGAGCACCACAAUGGCGAACACUCCGACGAGCACCAUCACCACCUGUGGAACGUUCCUCAUCCCUUUCUCACCUCCCGACGACCACCAUUAGGCAAGGGGAUCCAUCAAACGGUUUGAUUCAAACCCGAGCAGGUUUUGGGAUCCGGAGAAAAUGGAUUUUUCAUUUACUAUGACGGAGGCGCAUAUCUUGGGUCUGAGCCCGGAUUGUAGUGAGAGAUCUGGGCCGACGCAGCCUCGGCUGCCUUUUCGACGACAGAGCCACGACGAUUGUUUCGAUAAUAUCGAAUAUAUCGCGAUAUUAUUGAUAUUAUCGAUAAUAUCGCGAUAUUUUGACGACAAUUAGAGGGAUACGUGGGAAAAUAUCGGUCUUUCUGAAACGAUAAUAUCGGCAAUAUUUUGCCGAUAUUAUCGAUAUUUUAGUCAUUGGUUUGAACUCCUCCCUUUUAUCUCUGACCCAACAAUAUCUAUUUAGGAGAUCGAAAAUUUGGUGCCAAGUUGUGUGAUAAUAAUAAGAUAAGAGUAUUAGUAAUAAAUAUCAAACUCGUCAUUCAUUUAUAAUAUUUUAAUAAUUUAAUAUUGAAUUUGUCGUUCAUUUAUAAUAUUUCACUUCCACAUGAAGAUAAAGUACUACUCGAAGCCCGAUCCAUUUUCUGUGAGCGGAGGCCACCUUGUUUUGUGUGCCAUGGUCUGCCUCAUUCUGCCUAAGCUUAGUCAUCCUCGUUCUGCAUGCGUCGAGACUGCUUAACACCCAACAUUUUUUACAAAAAUGCACAUUUUUUAUUAUUGGAAAAUAUUUUUCUUGAGUAUUAAGUUAAACUUUUUAAGGAAUUUGGAAGCAAUUUUACGACUUAUUGAACAAAAAAUGUAUAUUUAGUAGAAUAUUUGAGCCGAGAACUAAAAAGAUAAGCAAAAAACAUAGUAGUGAGUCCCAUAACAUUGUCAAAUGGGGUUUGACACUCAAGAAUCUCAACGGAAAGCCUCAUCUUAAUUUUCAAAACUUCACAGUGAAUCGAAGGUGAAAAUAAAUAGAUUGAACGGUAAUUUAUGUACGAAUUUGCAAAACUGACUGAAAACCGUGAGUGUUAACCCAUAUUUUUUUGUAAAAAAUGCAAAUAUUUUAUUUUGUCCAAAUAUUUUCCGUGAGCAUUAAAGCAAUUUGUAUAAUGUAUUUGGAAGUGGAUUUACGAUUUAUUUAGCAACACGUGUAUAUUUAAUAGAAUAUUUAAGCCGAAAAGUAAAAAAAAUAAGUGAACAACAUAGAGACGUUAAAAUGUAUAUUUUAUUAUUAUUAUUAUUUUUGUUAUAAAAUUAGAAAUGUUAAAAUCACUUGUAGGUGAGGCUUAAAAUAAAAAUAGCAAAAUUUUGUUUUGUUAAAUAGUCUUUCACCCUUUUUUGGUUAACAAAGAGGGUUCUAUUAAUAUGUAGUUUAGAUUUUGAUGAAAGAAAAAAUUAACAAAAAGAAAAAUCUGGUUCAAAUAUCGUUAAAUUUAGGUCUUAAAUGGUUGAUUACAAGUGUUCAAAUACGAAUUAUAAUAAAUUUUGCAUGGAAAAAUAUAUUUUGAAGGGCAUGAAUAUAAUAGUUUGUUGUAGUGGUAAGAGAAAUAAAAGAAAAUUGUACAAAAAUGAUUGAAAUUCUUGGGGGUGGCAGAAAGUCACGCCUGCUUUCUGGCACCCGGGGAAUUUCAAUGAUGUUUGUUAAUUUUUCUUUCAGUUCUCUUACCACUACGACAAACUAUCACAUUCAUGUUCUUCAAAAUAUAUUUUUCUGUGCAUGGAGCCUGACUCAUUUUUUGAGCGCCCAGGAGUUCGCCUCAUUCUGCGUGCGUGGAGCCCACCUCGUCUUGUGUGCCUGGGUUCGCCUCAUUCGGCAUAUGAGGUGUUCGCAUCGUUUUGUGUGUCAGAAACCCGUCCUUUUUUUUGUCCAUAGAGCCUGCGUCGUUUUGACAUGCACGGAGCUAACCUCGUUUUCGUGCGCAGGACUGGCCUAGAUUUGUGCGACGUAUCCCUCCUCGUUUCUCAUGCGCAGAGCUCGCCUCAAUGUGCUUGCCGGGAAGCCCGCUCUGUUUUCUUGAGCGCAACCCGCCUUGUUUUGCUUGCCAAUAUUCGCCUCGUUCUGCAUGUGUCGAGCCCGCCUAACAUCCUACUUUUUGACAAAAAUGCAAAUUUUUUAUUUUCGCAAAAUAUUUUUUUUGAGCAUUAAGUUAAACUUUUAAGGAAUUUGAAAGCAAUUUACGACUUAUUGAGCGACAAAUGUAUAUUAAUAGAACAUUUGAGCCGAGAACUAAAAAAAUAAGCGAAAAACAUAGUAAUGAGUUCCAGAACAUUGUAAAAUGGGGAUAGACACUCAAGAAUCUCAAUGGAAAGCCUUGCCUUAAUUUCCAAAACUUCACAGUGAGGUGAAGGUGAAAAUAAAUAGAUUGUACGAUGAUUUAUGUAUGAAUUUGCAAAACCAACUGAAAACCAUGAGUGCUAAUCCACGUUUUCCAAAUAUUUUUUGUGAGCAUUAAAGAAAUCUUUAUAAUGUAUUUAGAAGCGGAUUUACGAUUUAUCGAGUAAUAAGUGGAUAUUUAGUAAAAUAUUUAAGCCGAAAAGUAAAAAAAAUAAGUUAACAACAUAGAGAUGUCAAAAUGUGCGUGUGUAUAUAUAUAUUAGAGAUGUUAAAAUCACAUGUAGGUGAGGCUUAAACAAAAAAUAGCAAAAAUUUGUUUUGUUAAAUAGUCUUUCACCCGCUUUUGGUUGAUAAAGAGGAUUCUAUUAAUAUGUAGUUUAGAUUUUGAAAAGAGAAAAAAUUAACAAAAAGAAAAAUCAGGUUCAAAUAUUGUUAAAUUGAGGUCUUAAAAGGUUGAUUACAAGUGUUUAAAUAUGAAUUAUAAUAGAUUUUGCAUGAAAAAAUAUAUUUUGAAGGGCUUGAAUAUGAUAGUUUAUUGUAAUGGUAAGAGAAAUGAAAACAAUAAUACAAAAAUGAUUGAAAUUCUUGGGGUGGCAGAAAGUCACUUGACUUUCUGGCACCCCAGGAAUUUCAAUCAUGUUUGUUAAUUUUUCUUUAAGUUCUCUUACCACUACAACAAACUAUCACUAGUGUUUAAAUACGAAUUAUAAUAGAUUUUGCACGAAAAAGUAUAUUUUAAAGGCCAUGAAUAUGAUAGUUUGUUGUAGUGGUAAGACAAAUAAAAGAAAAAUGUACAAAAAUGAUUGAAAUACUUGGGGUGGUAGAAAGUAGUUUCAAAAUAUAUUUUUCUGUGUGUGGAGCCCGACUCGUUUUCUGAACAGCCGAGAGUUCACCUCGUUUUGCAUGCACAAAGCCCACCUCAUCUUGUGUGCCUGGGUUCGCCUCGUUCUGCAUGUGAGGUGUCUGCAUCAUUUUGCAUAUCAGAAGCCCGUCCCUUUUUUUGUCCACGGAGCAUGCACCGUUUUGACUUGCACGAAGCCAGCCUCGUUUUUCGUGUGCAGGGGUGGCCUAGAUUUGUGUGUAGUAUCCCUUCUCGUUUCUCAUGCGCGGAACUCACCUUGUUUUGCUUGCCUGGAGGCCCACCAAGUUUUCUUAAGCGCAGCCUGCUUUGUUUUGCAUGCCAAGAUUCAUCACGUUCUGUGUGAGUUGAGUCCGCCUCGUUUUGCCACUACAAGAAAACAUGGAAUAGGUGACCAAAUUUUAUGUGGCGCCCAAAAAUUCUUCACAUAUUUUUUCUAUAUGUGAUGCAUUGUUCAGAGCGUCACGCAUGACUAGUUUUUUAGGUAUGAAAUUUGAGAACAUUUAGGUGAUGAUAAAUACAUCACAUAUUCUAGAAUGGAGUGACGAAAAUCAUAAGCGUCACUUAAAAAUUAUUUUUUAUCUUUUAAGAUUAAAAAGUGGUGACACAAAUUUUAUGAAGUGCUUACUAAAAUAUAUGGCAAGGAACAAUGGCACCCUAAAGAAGUGUGAUAUGUCAGGAAUUUCAAAAAGGUCACAUAUGUGUAUUCUCGGUGACGAAAGUGAUUCAUCACUCUUUCAACAGUAAAUAAAAAAAGAAAAAAAAAAGAAACAUAGUAAAGUAUUAAACAAAUUUGAUAAAGCCCAUCUAAAUUCUAAACUGUUCUCACUCACUUUCCCUUUCUCUAUGUCUCAGACUUCUCCCGUCUCUUGUCCCUGUGACCCAAGCCACCGACGCGUCUCCUAAUCUUCUUCUCUCUAUACCGCGACAUUACCGGUAUCUUUUAAGUUAAACGCUCAAACCCUUUCUCAUCUAUUCGCUGUCUAUCACACUCCACAACCAAAAACCCUAGAGACCAAUUCAACCAACAAGCCAAAUCCACACCAUGUCACGUCUCAACCUUCUUCCAGUUUCUUGCUCCACCACCGAAAACCCAAGAACCCUAACCCUUUCAACCAACUACAUAAAUCUAUGCCAAAUUUCUCCAUGCCUACGAGACUACUAUGUGGCCAAAUGGUUAACGAAUUCAAUUUUUAUCAUUCUUUUUAAGUUAGGGUUUUGGAUAUGCAGGUAAUUGCCUCCAAAUUGAGCACGCCAACAGCCGUCGACCUCUACAUCCAUCUUUCAAGGACUCUAAUUGGGUAAAAUUUGGUUUUUAAUUUUUAGAUUUAUAUAUAAAUAUUAUAUAUCUCCCUCCCGCCUGUCUGCUUUCCGUCACCGUCGAAGUGCCCGGACAUUCAAGCUCUAGAAUCCCCAAUACAUGGAGCUUUUCUGCAUUUCGUUCGCCAAACUUUGGGUAUGUUCUCAAUCUCUAGACCCUAUCCUUUUCCCUUUAACUUUUUGUUUAGUCUCAACUUUAUGGUGUUUUUCUUAUAUUUGUUCUAUCACUGUAAUUUUAAGUUAUUUUAGGUAAUGAAUUUGGUUGAGAAUCUUAGUUAGGUUUGUAAUUUUUUUCUAGUUGCCUGGGUUUGAGGAUGAUUAAUCCACUUUCUAAAUUUUAAUUACUUUGAACUUUGAUUAUUAGGAAACUGCAAUUUCAAAAUUCCAGACAUGAUUAUAUCUCCAUAAUUUCGAUGACAGACUGUUCUAAAAAAGAUUCAUAUGUACUGCCUGAUUAGAUUAUUAGAUUAUUUGUCCUGAAUCCUAAGGUAGAUCUAUAAAUGUUGACAUUUUGCUUAAACGGAAUAGUUUCCACCUCAUUGCUUCAAUCAUGUUUUGUGUCCUUAAAUCCAAGAAAGCUGACUAAACUAAAAUAAACUCUCCCAGUCAUUUAGCUUGGGUGGUGAGAUGAGGACUGAAGGAAUUUUGGUCAGUUUUUGGUCCACCAAUUUUAAAACAGCCACAUAGCCCCAAGAAAAUAGACAACAACUGAUUUCCAGCAAGCUGCCCUUUUCACAUCCAAACUUGUUUUCCCACUUUACAAAUAUUCCUUCGAACUUUAAUUUGUUGUACGGAACCCCUCACACAUUUUGUUCGACAAGCUAGUAUAUUUGCCUCUCAUCAUUUCUAUCCCAUCAUAAUUAUAAACGUUUAAACUAGCUUGAAUAGGGAAAAAGGGAAAAAGAAACACUUAAAGAUCUCUAAUAUUGACAAAGGAUAUGAAUAUAAUCUUUUUAAUUUCAAGCUUGAUAACACAAGUCACUUAAAGUAACUUAUAACUUUCAAGUGCUUGGUAAUGGCGAAUUUUUAUUUUAAAGUAUGUUAUUGUUUAUGCUAAAUGUAAUAUAAGCUUUUUAAAUAAUUGAGUUUGCAUAUCUGGUAUUUUUUAUUUUGAGUUGGGUUUAGUGGAGGCCAUUUGGACUAAGUUGGGAAUGCUCAUUUUCUGGUUUCUGAAUUCCUGAAUGAGAUCAUCAAUUUGAGCAGCUUUCCUUUUCUACUACACUGUGAUGGCAUGCCUAUUCACACGAGAACAAUGUAAAGCUGUGAUCAACUAUUGAAAGUUCCUUCAUCAUUAACUGGUUAGAUUAUAAUCCCAGCCUCUGGAGAUAUGUUUAGCAAUGGCACACAUUCAGUUUGGUGAUUUGGAUAUAUUUUUCACUAGCAUGUUUAGAGGGCCUUUAUUUAUCUUCUACAAAAGAGCACUUGUAUAGAAAGAGCUUGAGAGGCAAACACCGCCUGCCCUAUGAGAAGAAGCGCAAGGCAGGCUCACAAGGUAAUGAAAUUAAAGCACAUAUAAAACUCAUUAUGUAAUUUAGAUAGGCUCAUCUGUUAUGUUUCGUUCUUCUUAAUGUAAUUGUUUCUUCAAUUCUUAUUUUCUUCUCUUUUGUUAAUGUUAUUCAAUUGCUCAAUGCACCUACUAUUGUCUAGACAAACAUACACCUAUGUUUUCUUCUCUUUUUUUUAUGUAAGGAUAAGAUGAAGAAAAAGAAGGAUCAAAUUAAAGGUGAAAGCAUUCAAGAAGCACCUGAGGUAGUGAUGGUGAUCUUUCAAAUGACAAUGAUACUUGUGCUAAACUGAAGACCAUGAUAUGGUUGAUGACUUAUGUAUUUUGUUGUUGGUUUUAAAUAUGCACAUGGUAUACCUAUUUUAUUAUCGACUCAAUGGCUUAGAAUCUUGUUAGCAUUUCAAUAUGUCUAGAGGUGUUAGGAUGCUUAUGUUAGCUUUUGGGAUACUUGGUGUAUGUACUGGAUGUUACCUAACUUAUUGAUCAAUGAAAUGUGAUUAAACAAAGUAUUACCUCAUAUUUGUUAUGAAUGUUAAUUCUAGAUGACGAAGCGGGGUUCGAAUUGUUCCUAAUAGGUAUAUGAAUUUGACACAUGUGACACAAAUUGCGCCACAUGCCAAAGGAAUAUGUGACACUUUCAAUUUCACUUAUCCUUAGCCAUAGCAUUUUACGAUCAGAUUGCGUGAUGAUAAAUUCCUUACUUAUACAUUUGUUAUGUGACGAACUUAUAGGUCACUAACUUUUGUCUUUUGUGACGCUUAUUUCGUCACACGUAAAGUUAUUAAGUGACAAAUGCGGCGUCACUAAUACUUAAAAAAUGUGGUGAGUGAAAAAAUUUGUCACGAAACUAUAGGUGACGUAUAUGUGACAAACAUAGUGACGCUGGAUUUUCGUCAUAUAUAAUCAAAUGUGACAAAUUUUCAUGUUUAUGUGACGAAUGUGUGUCGCCACCUAAGUCAUGUUUUCUUGUAGUGUGUGCGUCGAUCGUCUAACCCCAUGUUUUUUUGACAAAAAUGCACAUUUUUUAUUUUCACAAAAUAUUUUUCCUGAGCAUUAAGUUAAAUUUUUUAAGAAAUUUGGAAGCAGUUUUACGGCUAAUUGAGCGACAAAUGUAUAUUUAGUAGAAUAUUUGAGCCGAGAACUAAAAAAAUAAGCGAAAAACAUAGUAGUGAGUCCUAGAACAAUGUCAAAUGGGGUUAGACACUCAAGAAUCUCAACGGAAAGUCUCACCUUAAUUUCCAAAACUUCAUAGUGAGGCGAAGGUGAAAAUAAAUAGAUUGAACGGUGAUUUAUGUAUGAAUUUGCCAAAUCGAUUGAAAACCGUGAGUGUUAAUCCACGUUUUCCAAAUAUUUUCCGUGAGCAUUAAAUAAAUCUUUAUAAUGUAUUUGGAAGCGGAUUUACGAUUUAUCGAGCAACAAGUGUAUAUUUAGUAAAAUAUUUAAGCCAAAAAGUAAAAAAAAAUAAGUGAACAAAUUAGACAAAAAAUAGCAAAAUUUUGUUUUGUUAAAUAGUCUUUUACUCUCUUUUGGUUGACAAAGAGGGUUCUAUUAAUAUGUAGUUUAGAUUUUGAUAAAAGAAAAAAUUAACAAAAAGAAAAAUUAGGUUCAAAUAUCGUUAAAUUAAGGUCUUAUAUUGUUGAUUACAAGUGUUUAAAUACGAGUUGUAAUAGAUUUUGCACGGAAAAAUAUAUUUUGAAGGGCUUGAAUAUGAUAGUUUAUUGUAGUGGUAAGAGAAAUAAAAGAAAAUUGUAGAAAAAUGGUUGAAAUUCUUGGGGGUGGCAAAAAGUCACGCCUGAUUUUGUGGCUCGUGACUUUCUGACACCCAUGAAUUUCAAUCAUGUUUGUUAAUUUUUCUUUCAGUUCUCUUACCACUACGACAAACUAUCACAUUCAUGUUCUUCAAUAUAUAUUUUUCUGUGCGUGGAGUCCGACUCGUUUUCUCAACACCCAGGAGUUCGCCUCGUUUUACGUGUGCGGAGCCCACAUUGUCUUGUGUGCCUGGGUUCACAUCGUUUUACAUGCAAGAAGCCCGUCCCUUUUUUUGUGCAUGGAGCUUGUGCUGUUUUGACGUGCACGGAGCCAGUCUCGUUUUCCACGCGCAGGGUAGGCCUAGACUUGUGCAACGUAUCCCUCCUCGUUUCUUAUGUGCGGAGCUCGUCUUGUUUUGCAUACUGGAAGCCCAUCCCGUUUUCUUGAGCCCAACCCGUCUUGUUUUGCAUGUCAAGAUUCACCUCGUUUUACGUGAGCUGAGUCGGCCUCAUUUUGCUCAUUUUGUGUGAGUCGAUCCCUCCUAAAACCCUGCUUUUUGACAAAAUGCAAAACUUCACAGUGGGGCAACUUACCAGUGCGGCAACUUAACUUCCAAAACUUCACAGUGGGGCAACUUAACAACUAAGACAACUCUUCCGAAUGUUUAGCGCUUCUUCUAGUGCCAAUUUUGACUUGACUGGCAGCACUUCUAAAAAACUUGACGAGCAAAGGGAAAUCAGAGAACUUCUUCACAACUUUGAUCCUCCAAUGUCUAUAUCAACUAGACGACAACGUCGACAAGCAUUUAAAGAAAAACUGCAACAAGGAAUUCUACGUCCUGGUGAUACUGAUGUCUCAUUCGAAAGUUUUCCAUAUUACCUAAGGUGCAGCAAUUUGCUUUUUAUUUUUAUUUUAUUUAUUGUGCAUUAGAUCAUCAUAUGAUACUGAACUAGCUUCCCUUAUUGUGAUUGGUCCAUAUGUAGUUGGACUCUUAUUGGUCAAUUCUGAGCUCAGACCUUUCCUCAUUUUGCAUUUUUACAGUGAUACAACAAAGAAGGUUUUGAUUGCAUCCACCCUCCCGAAUUUGAGGUGUAGCAAGUUUGGAAAAUAUUUUUCAUCACUACCUACCGGGAGCCCGCGCAUAUUGUUAUCUGGUCCAGCAGGUACUUCUGCCAUUUUAAUUUCUACACAUAGGCUUGUAAUUCUGUGGUUGAUGAUGCUUGUAAAUUCUGAAGUUUGAUAUUUUCUUUUUCUUUCCGUGUUAAUUCAUUAUGUUUUUAUUUUAACAAUUCUUUUGUAGGUUCUGAGAUAUAUCAGGAAACCUUGGCAAAGGCACUCGCGAAACAUUUUGAUGCUAGAUUACUAAUUGUAGAUUCUCUUCUCCGGCAUGGUGUAUGUUCCUUCGUGUUGCUUUUUUAACUAGAAUCUUGUUUGCUUACAAGCAUAUAUUGGAGUUCUGUUGUUGUUGAUCUACUUUUUUUCUAGCAGUUUUCUUCGUCAUUCCAGGAAUUCAAGUUUAGAAUUGUGGAUUUUUCUUUUAAAUAUUUCUUGGAAUAUACUUCUUAAUAGGUUGAUGAAAGUGUUUCCACUCAUGCAAUGCGUGAACUUCUUGAGGUACUCAUCUCCUUGUGUGGUUCUGGAGGUGAUGAUAUUGGCAAUCUUGCAAUCGGUGAACUUCUUGAGGUACUCAUCUCCUUUACACUAACAGGAGCUCAUUUAACUGUACCAAUAUAGUUGCUGUUAAUUUGGUAUUAAUAUCUGCACCAAUGUUGUGCAGGUGGCAACCAAUAUCUGCACCAAUGUUGUGCAGGCGGCAACCAAUGAGAGUAAAAGUCUUCCUUUGAUAGUGUUUUUGAAAGAUAUAGAAUCGGUUAUGGUAGGUAACCCAGAUGCAUAUAGUGUCUUGAAGAGUAAGCUUGAAAACUUGCCAGAGAAUGUUGUUGUGAUCGGCUCUCAUACCCAGUUGGACAAUCGCAAGGACAAGGUAAGAGGCUGAGGAUUUUAUCAGUUAGCUGAUUUUGAACUCACUAUUGUAGUUUGACAUUAACAGCUUUGCUUGAUCUCGCUUUUCCGGUAUGUGAAUUUCCAUUAUCUUUUCCAUUUUAUUUUUCUUGGUGGCAUGUAAUGCUAAUGCAAGUUUUAACUACUCAUAUCAGCAUCUGUAAUCAUGCUGAUUCUGAUUUAGAUUUGUAGACCUUGACAACUGUGCAAAGUGCAUUACUUUCUUUGCCUUUGAUGAGUGAGAGCGAGUCUUGAGUUUUUACUCUCUAACUAAAUUUUUAUCUGAUUAAUUUAAUUCUCAAUUUGCUUUCUGUUCGAUUUACAUUCAACUCGGUCUCACUUUCUCUUGCAAAUGUACACAAAUUCCUCAAGGUCAAUUGAAACAGUCUGAUGAGGGGGCUUUGUUCACAUUGAAAUAUAAAAUUCAACAAUACUUUGCCCUCUUUUUCGUAGAUGAUGAUACUUUUCUUCUGAAAAACCAAGAUGACACAUUUAUUGGUGGUGUUCAGGAUAACCUUGGGGGUAGGCUGCAUGACAGGAGCAAAGAAACUCCUAAAACUAUGAAGCAAGUUCAACUCUCUCGGAUUUUCCCCAACAAAGUGACCAUGCCCCAGGUAGUCAGCCUUUUUUCUUAUAUGGUCAUUGUGCUUAGGGUGGUUCGGUAUGGGAUCCCAUACCGAAACCCUUGUCCCGAUUCCCAUACCGAAAUUUUCGGGAAUCCCAAUUUCAAUACCGAUCCCAAACCAAAUUUUCGGGAAUCCCAAUUUUCGGGAAUCCCGAAAUAGUUUCGGGAUUUCGGGACAAAUCGGGAAUCCCAAAAAUAAUUUUAGGCUUUUGGACUUUUGGGCUUUUGGACAAAAAAAGCUAAUAUUGGUCCAAUUGGACAAAAACCUAAUAUUGGGCCUGCCCACUGAAUGUAACAGCCCCCACAUAUGGGCUUAACUUUUAUUCAACCAAAUAAAAAAAAUAUUGGGCAAACCUGCAAUGUUUAUAAGAGCAGAACGAACAUUAGCAGUUCAGCUGCAUUUUCCACUUGUAUUGUAGCCAAGGUUUUAAAAUAAAUAAAGUAACAAACCCAAAAGCAAAAAAAUUAGUUACAAUCCAAAGUUUUAAUAAUUAAGUUACAAACCAAAAGCAAAAAAACAAAGUUUCAAGUUUAUGAAGAUUGUUGACAUCUUCGGCCCCUUCUUGUUGGCACUUGUAAUUUUCCCCUUGAUGUUGAUGGUUGAGCCCUUCCCCUUACAAUGGGUGGUCGUGGUCGUGAAGGUAGUGAUUGAUUUUGACGUUGUUGAACUUGUACUUGAGGUGGUCGAGGAGGUGGAGGUGGCAUUUCAUUUUCUUGUGUUGUAUUCUCCUCACCUCCCAAAUUAGCCAUGUCUAAAACAAUAAACCACAAAUCAUUUACAUUGAAUUAUAGUCUAAUAGAUAAUAAAUACUAAGAAAAUAAAAGAUGAAAUUAAAUUGUUUACUUACUUCUUUCUAAGCGUUCAAGCUCCUCGUAGAAACAUAAUUCGUCAAGGGUAGGCUCCUUGUCUCACUACUUCUACUUCUGCUACUUCCUUUUCCCCCUCUUCCCCCUCUUCCCCCUCUUCUUCUAUUUGUUCUAAUGCAAUAUCCUCCUCCACAUCCAGAUCAUCAUCCCAACAAUCUUCAUAAUAAUCAUUAUGCAAAUAAUCUUGAGGUGAGGGAGUGCCUAGUUGAAGGGUACCACUAAGUUGGGUUUGUUUUCGUUUUCCUAAUACCAAGACCAUAUGUGUACUAGAUUGGCUACUAGAUCCGUCCAUCCUAACAAAUAAAAUAACAAUGUACAUUAAUAUAUCACAACCACAGUUCAGCAUAGUGUGUACAUUAAUAUAUCACAACCACAGUUCAGCAUAGUGUGUACAUUAAUAUAUAACAAUGUACAUUAAUAACAAUGUACAAUCAAAGUAAAAUCUGACCCAAUAUAUACAUCCUAUGAUAACAUUAACUUGUUACUUGUUUAAAUUAUGUAAUGGGAUUUUAAAAUGGUUAAUGGCAUGCGAUUCAUCACAAAUGAAGUAAGGAAAAUAAUGUGCACAUAUUCAGCAAGCUGAUCACAAGUAAAACAGAUAUAAAUAAAAGACAUCACCAUAAACCUACCUCUUCAUGAAUUUUUGUAAUUUCACGAGCUAGGACGCAUUUUCUGAAACACAAUUACAAACUCACCAAAUCAGUUUUUUGUAAAACCACUAAGUCAGUAAAAGCGCAUAAAUCCAUACAUGGAAGUUUAAUUUGUAACUCACCAUAACAAAAACUAAUAUAUAAUCAUUUUUUUCUUAAGUCAGUAAAGCUUUUAUUGAAGUUGGUAUUUUUUCUUAAUACCUUUAUUAAAAUUGAUUUUUAAUCUGAAGCCUUAAAAGUAUUUACCUUGAAACACCAAAAACUGAAGAAGUCUCUUCAAGAAACUGUUGAAGUUUGUGGGGAGGCACAUAGAAUAUUUGGGUCGUCCCCUCAUUUGCUGAAACCGUCAACCUCUCUCUUCUAGAUCCAACAUGUUUAGAGAGAAAUCCAACUGCAGAAGUAUACUCAGUUUCAGAGUUCUAUAUACAUCUUAUCCACCAAGAAGAAUAUCUGCAGCAUCAUUUCCAUGGAAAACUUACCAAACGUAAACUCAUCCGUGGAGAGGCCAGAUGCAGAGAGAGCAGCCACAAAAGCAGACGGCCCAGGUAUAGGAAUAACAGGGAUGUUUUCAUCCACGCACAGCUUUGCCUGCAAUAAAACUUGAGAGAGAUCCAAUUGCAGAAGUAUACUCGAGAGAGAUCCCCAGUUCUGUGACCUGUCCUGUCCUGUCCGUGAAAGACAAUCGCCCUAGAGAGAGAGAGAGCAGUGGUUGUGUGGUGAAGGAAGGCUGGAGAGUCAGAGACGAGAGUAUGGUGUGGUGGUGGGUCGGUUGCUGGUUGGAAUUCGACAGUAUGGUGAGGGACGACGUUGGUGAGGGUCGGAGGCUCACGGCUGCGCUUCGAAACAAAUGAACGGAGGAAUACAAAAGUGAAAUGUUAUCAUCUGACCUAAAAACAAAUCGACGGCACAGAUUAAAUCCAAAACAAUCAACGGUUGAAAUAAUUCUCUUAUAAUUAAAAAAUUAUAUAUAUAUAUAUAUAUAUAUUUUGGUUCGGUAUGGGAAUACCGAAAAAAUGAAAUGCAAUACCGAAUCCCAUACCGAAAAUUUCGGUUUGGUUUGGGAUUACAUCCCGAAACUUUCGGGAAUUUUGGUUUGGGAUUAUUUUGGUUUGGGAUCGGGAUUUUUUUGGUUUGGUUUGGGAUUUUUGGGAUUUUUUUCCAGCCUACUUGUUAUUGCUUGCAUGAGGUAAUAUUUGUCGGCUAUCCUGGCAGGAUGAGGCUUUACUUUCGGACUGGAAGCAGCAGUUUGAACGUGAUGUUGAAACUUUGAAAUCGAAGUUUUAUAUUGUUGCCAUUCACUCAGUAAGUACAUCUGAUCACAUCUACUUUUUGCUCUUAUUGUUCUUUCCCUUAAAUACGCCUCUCAUGUAUACUGUUCUUACACCUUCUUGCGCACUUAUUGAAACACAAGGAUGUGAAGAUUGUGCACAUGUGCUUGCUAAUGCUAACCGUGAUUCAUUUCCCUGUUGACAUUUUUAGUUAGCAGUUUAGUGGCUAAUGUAGUGUGUUUAGUGCUUUCGAUGCUAUUCCUGUAUAUUUUCUCGUAAGGCUGAUGUUUUCAGGUUCUUAACCGAGUUUCUGUGGAUUGCCCUGACCUUGAAAGUCUGUGCAUUAAAGAUCUAGUGCUUACAACUGAAAGUGCGUUUUCUUGAACUCAAAGUUUGUAGUGCAGAACAUUUUGCAGGGAAUAUUGACCUUAAUAUUCACUUAUGCGAUUCAUUGUAUAAUCCUUUCUUCAACAGGUGUUGACAAAGUAGUAGGCUGGGCUGUUAGUCACCAUCUUAUGCAUUGUUCAGACGCUUUAGUUAAAGAUGACAAACUUGUUAUUUCUACUGAAAGGUUGUACAAUUUCUUAGGACAGUGUAGUUUAAAUAUACCGUAUAUUCUGUUUUCUUAUCAUAUUUUAUGGUUCUGCGCUACAGUCUUAGGGAUGGACUAAACAUUCUACAAGGCAUUCAAAACGAAAACAAGAGCAUAAAGAAAUCACUUAAGGUAAGUUGAUAUUGUGGGGAAGUACCACAAAUGCCUUGUUUCGAGCUCUCUGAAGAUGAAAUGUAAAUUAGAUUUUCCAUAAUCAGGAAAGUAAGUGUAUAUAUAUUGGAUUUAACUCCAUGAUAUUUCAGGAUGUGGUUACUGGAAAUGAAUUUGAGAAAAAACUUCUUGCUGAUGUUAUUCCACCGAGCGAUAUUGGGGUUAGUUUUGAUGACAUCGGGGCCUUGGAAAAUGUGAAGGACACCCUAAAGGAGUUGGUGAUGCUUCCACUUCAGAGGCCUGAAUUAUUUACCAAGGGACAGUUGAAUAAGGUAGAAACAUGGCACUCUUUUCAUUUGUCCCCUUUGGAAAGUGAAACAGUUCUAUGUUGGUGCUUCUUUUCUUUCAUGUUUCUUAUCUGAUUAUCGUCACUUAUUCUACAGCCUUGUAAAGGAAUCUUGCUAUUUGGUCCCCCGGGUACUGGAAAGACUAUGCUUGCGAAGGCUGUUGCAACUGAAGCUGGUGCAAACUUUAUUAACAUAUCAAUGUCAAGUAUUACUUCAGAGGUAUUUUUGCAUUUUAUCGUGGUUGUUGGAACUUGGAUAAACAUUUUGUGACGACUAUUGAAUCCAUAUGACCCCUUUAACUUUUGUUGCAGUGGUUUGGGGAAGGAGAGAAGUACGUUAAAGCGGUGUUCUCCUUAGCUAGUAAAAUUGCCCCUAGUGUUGUUUUUGUUGAUGAGGUUGGUUCAUUACAUUCUAUAUAUUUGCGCUGUCCAGGGAACCUUUUUCUUUAGUUCUCGUUUGGAAAAUGUGAGUUAUACAAAGAGUUUUCUGGAAUAUACCAUGCCAGUUUAUGAGUGUUUGUAGAAUCCUUUUGUUCGUCUUGUUUCACUCAAUUUUAUUCCCGUCCAAUUUGAUUUUUUUAUUGGUACCAUCAUAGGUGGACAGCAUGUUAGGCAGACGUGAAAAUCCUGGGGAACAUGAGGCUAUGCGUAAAAUGAAAAAUGAGUUCAUGGUUAACUGGGAUGGUCUGCGUACAAAGGAUAAAGAACGUGUAUUGGUACUUGCUGCUACUAAUAGGCCUUUUGACCUUGAUGAGGCUGUUAUUAGGAGGCUUCCGAGGAGGUAAAAUCGCAUGUUUGCCUGUUGUUCUGCUACUGCAUCUGUUAUAUGUCAACGCAAGUAUAUUGACUUCCUGCGUACAAAAUUAAUUCUAUGUGCAGAUUGAUGGUGAACUUGCCAGAUGCCCAGAACAGAGAAAAAAUACUGAGAGUUGUAUUGGCCAAAGAAGAUUUGGAAACUGACGUUGAUUUGGAGGCAGUUGCAAAUAUGACAGAUGGGUAUUCCGGAAGUGACUUAAAGGUUGCCUACUAAUUUUUACGAAACCCAUCUAAGCUUUUUACAUACGUAGUUUUAUUUUUGUCGGUUAUAUUCUAUGUAGUUCUAUUUUCUCUUAUGUAAUGGAUUGUCCUGAUUUUUGUUGUGGUUGCAGAAUCUGUGUGUUGCUGCAGCUCACCUCCCCAUUAGGGAAAUUUUAGAGAAGGAGAAAAAGGUUGGUUUGCUGGACAGUGUAACAAAAAUACAAAGCCCUUGUUGAUUUUUUAACUUGAAGUGGUGUGGUUGGUUACUGCAACUAAGUAGUUCUUUCUUCACGUAUCGCAGGAGAGAAGUUUAGCUUUGGCGGAGAACAGACCUGUACCGGAGUUGUACUGCAGCACCGACAUUCGUCCUUUGAAGAUGGAGGACUUCAAACAUGCGCAUGAGCAGGUACGUUGUGACCUAAUAAUACAAUACGGGGUUUUGGCUUCUUGUAGUAUUCUACCGUGGUCGGAAGUGUUCGGUUGCGUUCCGGAUCAUUGGCUGUCUAAUAUUGAAUUCAAUGCAGGUGUAUGCAAGUGUGUCUUCGGAGUCGACAAACAUGAGUGAGCUCCUCCAAUGGAAUGACCUAUACGGCGAAGGCAGAUCAAGAAAGAAGACGUCUCUCAGCUAUUUUAUAUAGUGUUUAAAUACGAAUUAUAAUAGAUUUUGCAUGGAAAAAUAUAUUUUGAAGGCCAUGAAUAUGAUAGUUUGUUGUAGUGGUAAGAGAAAUAAAAAAAAAUAUACAAAAAUGAUUGAAAUGCUUGAGGUGGCAGAAAGUCACUUCAAAAUAUAUUUUUCCGUGCGUGGAGCUCGACUCGUUUUCUGAGCACCCGAGAGUUCACCUCAUUUUGCAUGCACAGAGCCCGCCUCAUCUUGUGUCUGGAUUUGCCUUGUCCUGCAUGUGAGGUGUCCGCAUCGUUUUGCAUAUCAAAUGCUCGUCCCUUUUUUUGUCCACGGAGCAUGCGCCGUUUUGACUUGCACGAAGCUAGCCUCGUUUUUCAUGCGCAGGGCUGGCCUAGAUUUGUGCGACGUAUCCCUCCUCGUUUCUCAUGCGCAGAGCUCAAGUCGUUUUGCAUGCCGGGAAGCCCACCAAGUUUUCUUGAGCGCAACCCCCCUUGUCUUGUGUACCAAGAUUCAUCUCGUUCUGCGUGAGCUGAGUCCGCAUCGUUUUGUGUGCGUCGAUCCUGCCUAACCCCAUGCUUUUUGACAAAAAUGCAAAUUUUUUAUUUUCACAAAAUAUUUUUCCUAAGCAUUAAGUUAAAGUUUUUAAGGAAUUUGGAAGCAGUUUUAGGGCUUAGUGAGCGACAAAUGUAUAUUUAGUAGAAUAUUUGAGCCGAGAACUAAAAAAAUAAGCAAAAAACAUAGUAGUGAGUCCUAGAACAUUGUCAAAUGGGGUUAGACACUCAAGAAUCUCAACGGAAAGCCUCGUCUUAAUUUCCAAAACUUCACAGUGAGGCGAAGGUGAAAAUAAAUAGAUUGAACGGGGAUUUAUGUACGAAUUUGCCAAACCGACUGAAAACAGUGAGUGUUAAUCCACGUUUUCCAAAUAUUUUAUGUGAGCAUUAAAUAAAUCUUUAUAAUGUAUUUGGAAGCGGAUUUACUAUUUAUCGAGCAACAAGUGUAUAUUUAGUAAAAUAUUUAAGCCGAAAAGUAAAAAAAAAAAAAAGUGAACAAAUUAGACAAAAAAUAGUAAAAUUUUGUUUUGUUAAAUAGUCUUUUACUGACAAAGAGGGUUCUAUUAAUAUGUUGACACACCCCGACCUAGAUCGAAGCAUGCUGGCCGUCAUGUGGGAGUGACGUAACCAUGUGCACAGUGCGGAAGCAAUAAAGAUAUUAGGGAAAUGCGAAAGAAUAAAAACCAAACUACUAGCAGUACUAGCUAAGAUAGAGUGCUAGUGCGAGAUUAAAUGUGAAAUACACAACUAGAGCAUAAUAUCCUAGAUGCAGUCAAGUAGGACAAGUACUAAUUGUACAACACCUAAGGGUGAUCCUACAUUUAUGAUGUUUUGUCAGAACCCUUGUCAAAAUCCUCGUGAUCCAGCAAAGCACUUAUACCUAAAACCUGGAGGGGCGCAAAACAAAAAGUGUGAGUGGGCAAAAACAAAGCUUUUCAAAAUCAUUUCAUUUCUCAAAAGUUCUAACCCCUUGCCGUAAAACCUGUAUAAUUUUCCCAGAAAAAUAUAAUAUAUGCUAUAUCAGAAUUCAUGCUCAGGAUGAAAAUCCAUAGAAAUAUAUCAUGCCAAAGUAUCUCAAUGAAAUGCCAUAAGUAAUCUAGUUAAAUAUAUCAGUGCCAGAUAUCAUAACAACUGGAUCUACCUAACUUGACCUGUACGGCUGAGUACAUAGCUCAUAACCAAUCUCAAUCAUAUCAAAUCAAAUCCUGCACACGAGUUGGAACCACCUAAAGUGGUCUGUACGAUAGGAUUAGGUGUAAUAUAAAUAUGCUCUAGUGCUACGAUCACGUGAAGACUGUGCGAAUAAUCGCCGGUCACUUACGAGUCGGAACCACCCAAAGUGGUAUGUACGACAAGCUUGUGCACCUAACUUGGAUCCAAGGUGAGCAUAUGGUGCGGGAGGUGAACAUCACGUGAAUGACUGUGCCCUAACCUUGGACGGGAGCACUAACACCAGGGUGCAAGUUUAUGAGCUCUCAAUACAUCACAUCAUAUCUCACAUAACUGAAGCAAUCACAUAUCUUUAAUUUAUGAACUUACCUGGCACUUACCUGUGCGUCCACAACACUAAUCAUGAAUAUAUGCAACUACUAAUGCAUAAUUAAAAUAGGCAAAUACUUGCAUGGCAUUUCCAAAACGUAAUUUCAUUUAAACACAUUUUCUGGGAAAAAUCUCAAGUAUAUAGGUAUAUACGGAAAACCAAAAGCCCACUCACUGAUAUGUCAAAGGGUAUUAGCCCCCGAGCCUCGAUUGAUGGUGCUCGUCCUCAGGAUAGGUCUCACCUAUAUGCGAAAUAACUUAAUAAAAGUUAUUUAAAGCACAUACAAAAAACUAGGAAAUAACUUCUCAUACAAUGCUCAAAUGGGGUUUUUGAAUAUACCAACGUGAUCUACUCAACACCACGAAUAUCCCCAUAUUUUUAGAAAAAAUUUCCGACCACUCACGUUCCCGCCAAGGCAUGGCUCAACGCGCCUCCAUGUGCGGCCAAACCCUAACCGAAACUUAACUGCCGUUAGGAAUAUUUCGUUAAAACCUUAACAUAAAUUAACGGCGUUACCAGACGCCGUUAGAAUAUUUCGUCAAACUUGACAGAAUAUUCCCUUCUCCUUCCUUGGUUCGCCGGAGUUCGGCACCGGUCGCCGCUGCACUCGCCGAUUUCUAGAAAAAUUUCAAAUCUUCAUAUCUCUUUUGAUUCUCAACCAAAAUUCACAAAAUUUAUACCAAAUUGAAGCUUAGGAUGAGAGGAACAAAACCUUACCACUUUGGGGACCUAAGACCAACGGAAUCUCGCUAGAGAAACCUCGAUAAUCCGACCAAAAAUUGAAACUCGCGAACUGGGACUUCCAAACAUCCAAAACACUCCAACUUUCUUUCCCAAGCUUCGUGAAGAUGUUUUAAGGCUUCCUAUAACCUUAAAACUCCUUGAAAACUUCGAAAUCAUGAGUGCAUGAACAGUAACCCAAAACUGGGUUCUCGGGAAAAUGAGGCCUUCACAUCCAAAUAAUAGUAUCAAUGGAUUCCUGGGCUCUCAAGGAACUUGAAUAUGGUCUCCAAAGGUUCGAUCUGAGGAUGAAAGUGAAGGUUCAAGGUUUGUCCGUACAAUUGUACGGAAAUGGAAGAAAAUGCGAGAGGGAGGAGAGAGAGUCAACAGGAUAGGGUGAGGGUAUGUGUGUGUGGUCCAGAUUGGUCCCCAACCAAAGACAAAUAAACUUAAAAAAAUCUAAUUGGGUCCAAUCUAUUAGGAAAUGAACUUAAUUGGUCCAAAAACUUAGCUUAAAUCACAACCACAACCCAACGCUCAAUGGCAUUUUAGACUUUUCACACCGCCGAUAAAAAAUAUUUCGGGACGGGCUGUGACAUAUGUAGUUUAGAUUUUGAUAAAAGAAAAAAUUAACAAAAAGAAAAAUCAAGUUCAAAUAUCGUUAAAUUAAGGUCUUAAAUUGUUGAUUACAAGUGUUUAAAUACGAAUUAUAAUAGAUUUUAAACGGAAAAAUAUCUUUUGAAGGGCAUGAAUAUGAUAGUUUGUUGUAGUGGUAAGAGAAAUAAAAGAAAAUGUAGAAAAAUGGUUGAAAUUCUCGGGGGGUGGCAGAAAGUCACACCUGACUUUGUGGCUCGUGACUUUCUGGCACCCAGGAAUUUCAAUCAUGUUUGUUAAUUUUUCUUUCAGUUAUCUUACCACUACGACAAACUAUCACAUUCAUGUUCUUCAAUAUAUAUUUUGCCAUGCGUGGAGUCCGACUCGUUUUCUGAGCACCCAGGAGUUCGCCUCGUUCUAAAUGCGCAGAGCCCGCAUAGUCUUGUGUUCUAGGUUCACCUUGUUCUGCAUGUGAUGAGGUGUCCGCAUCGUUUUAUGUGCCAGAAGCCCAUCCCUUUUUUUGUCCAUGGAGCCUGCGUCGUUUUGACGUGCGCAGAGCCAGCCUCGUUUUCCGUGCGCAAGGCUGGCCUAGAUUUGUGUGACGUAUCCCUUCUCAUUUCUCAUGCGCGAAGCUCGCCUUGUUUUGCGUGCUGGAAGCCCGUCCUGUUUUCUUGAGCCUAGCCCUCCUUGUUUUGUGUAUCAAGAUUCGCCUCGUUUUGCAUGAGUAGAGUCUGCCUCAUUUUGCUUGCGUCGAUCCCGCCUAAAACCCUACUUUUUGACAAAAAUGCAAAACUUCACAAUGGGGCAACUUAAUUUCUAAAACUUCACAGAGGGGUUACUUAUCAACUAAGUCUAAGACCACUAUUCCGAAUGUUUAGCGGUUCUUCUAGUGCCAAUUUUGACUUGACUGGCAGCAUUUCUAAGAUACUUGACGAGCAAAGGGAAAUCAGAGAACUUCUUCACAAUUUUGAUACUCCAAUGUCGAUAUCAACUAGACGACAACGUCGACAAGCAUUUAAAGAAAAACUGCAACAAGGAAUUCUACGUCAUGAUGAUAUUGAUGUCUCAUUCGAAAGUUUUCCAUAUUACCUAAGGUGCAGCAAUUUGCCUUUUUUAUUAUUAUUGUGGAUCAGAUCAUCAUAUGAUACUGAACUAGCUUCCCUUAUUGUGAUUGGUCCAUAUGUAGUUGGACUCUUAUUGGUAAAUUCUGCGCUCAGACCUUUCCUCAUUUUGCAUUUUUACAGUGAAACAACAAAGAAGGUUUUGAUUGCAUCCACCCACCCGAAUUUGAGGUGUAGCAAGUUUGGAAAAUAUUUUUCAUCACUACCUACCGGGAGCCCGCGCAUAUUAUUAUCUGGUCCAGCAGGU
Molecule: long non-coding RNA, 31010 nt
Filed under: Malus domestica (apple)
Lineage: Eukaryota; Viridiplantae; Streptophyta; Magnoliopsida; Rosales; Rosaceae
Description: long non-coding RNA (MDOM_LNC010985)
Source: RNAcentral